GACGAACGCUGGCAGCGUGCUUAACACAUGCAAGUCGAACGAUGAAGAAGAGAAACGCGAACUUCGGUUCAAAUUUCACUUCGGAUUAGUGGCAGACGGGUGAGUAACGCGUGAGCAACCUACCUCUUACAAAGGGAUAGCCUCGGGAAACCGUGAUUAAUACCAUAUGACACAUUCAUAAGGCAUCUUAAGAAUGUUAAAGCUACGGCGGUAAGAGAUGGGCUCGCGUCCCAUUAGCUAGUUGGUGAGGUAACGGCCCACCAAGGCGACGAUGGGUAACCGGCCUGAGAGGGUGAACGGUCACAUUGGAACUGAGACACGGUCCAAACUCCUACGGGAGGCAGCAGUGGGGAAUAUUGCACAAUGGAGGGAACUCUGAUGCAGCGACGCCGCGUGAGCGAUGAAGGAAUUCGUUUCGUAAAGCUCUGUUCUAUGGGAAGAAAAGGACUGUACCAUAGGAGAAAGCCCCGGCUAAAUACGUG
RNAcentral lists this ribosomal RNA (482 nucleotides) under uncultured bacterium. RNAcentral's name for it is "partial 16S ribosomal RNA". It matches the Rfam family "Bacterial small subunit ribosomal RNA", at positions 28 to 507 of the family's 1533-position model. The record is from RNAcentral.